RNAcentral lists this ribosomal RNA (254 nucleotides) under uncultured bacterium. RNAcentral's name for it is "partial 16S ribosomal RNA". It matches the Rfam family "Bacterial small subunit ribosomal RNA", at positions 524 to 776 of the family's 1533-position model. The record is from RNAcentral.
UACGUAGGGGGCAAGCGUUGUCCGGAUUUAUUGGGCGUAAAAGGCUUGUAGGUGGCCACGCCAAGUCGGAUGUGAAAUCUCCCGGCUCGACUGGGAGGGGUCAUUCGAUACUGGCGGGCUCGAGGCCGGUAGGGGGAAGUGGAAUUCCCGGUGUAGUGGUGGAAUGCGUAGAUAUCGGGAGGAACACCAGUGGCGAAGGCGGCUUCCUGGACCGGUUCUGACACUGAGGAGCGAAAGCGUGGGGAGCGAUCCGG